CAACGCGAAGAACCUUACCUGGGCUUGACAUGCCGCGAGUAGGAAACUGAAAGGGGACCGACCGGUUCAGUCCGGAAGCGGAACAGGUGCUGCAUGGCUGUCGUCAGCUCGUGCCGUGAGGUGUUGGGUUCAGUCCCGCAACGAGCGCAACCCUCGCCCUCUGUUGCCAUCGGGUCAUGCCGGGCACUCUGAGGGGACUGCCAGCGACAAGUUGGAGGAAGGAGAGGAUGACGUCAAGUCAUCAUGGCCCUUAUGCCCAGGGCCACACACGUGCAACAAUGGCCGGUACAGACGGAUGCGAGACCGAGAGGUGGAGCAAAUCCGAGAAAGCCGGUCCCAGUUCGGAUUGAGGUCUGCAACUCGACCUCAUGAAGUCGGAAUCGCUAGUAAUCGCGUAUCAGCACGACGCGGUGAAUACGUUCCCGGGCCUUGUACACACCGCCCGUCACACCACGAAAGUCUGUUGUACCUGAAGUCGGUGCCCCAACCGGAAACGGAGGGAGCCGCCCAAGGUAUGGCCGGUAAUUGGGGUGAAGUCGUAACAAGGUAACC
This 552-nucleotide ribosomal RNA is filed under the name uncultured bacterium. Its description in RNAcentral is "bacterial SSU rRNA". It matches the Rfam family "Bacterial small subunit ribosomal RNA", at positions 957 to 1501 of the family's 1533-position model. The record is from RNAcentral.